This is a long non-coding RNA of Brienomyrus brachyistius, 511 nucleotides long. RefSeq lists it as uncharacterized. The transcript has 5 exons. The record is from RefSeq and is a predicted model, not a curated record. Lineage: Eukaryota; Metazoa; Chordata; Actinopteri; Osteoglossiformes; Mormyridae.
GCAGAGUUGCCCUGCAGCCUCGUCGGCAAAGAGCAGGAAAUUCUGAAAAAAGCCUUAAAAAUGCUCCGAAACAGGAGGGAGGACCUCCGAAGGUCAGGAAAGAAGAGAGAAGGACUUCAGCUUCACUCCAACGACGUGUAAGACUGCUGAAAAAAGGUUGGAGAACAGUGGCCCUUGGAGAAAGAACAGAAGCACUUGAGGUUUGCCUCCAGGACAUCACACCUCCUAUUAAGCGCCUUUACAAAGCAGGAGAAAGAGUGAAAUGGAGGAAAAAAUACAUAGAUGGGUCAAGUAAGCAGCAGGAGCAAAGAGCAGAAGAGGAAAUAGGAAAGAAGAAGGGAGAGGAAAAGAGAGAGAGAGGAGAGAAGACAGAUGAGGAGGGAAAAGCAGUGGAAGAAGGAAGCAACAAACAUAAACUUAUAGCCCAACGAAGGCUUUCCAAGCCCAAGGGGGAAAGCGGCCGGUAAAAGGAAGGAAGCAACAAAUGUAAAGGAGGAAGAGGCUAUGAAGA